This 496-nucleotide ribosomal RNA is filed under the name uncultured bacterium. RNAcentral's name for it is "partial 16S ribosomal RNA". It matches the Rfam family "Bacterial small subunit ribosomal RNA", at positions 28 to 506 of the family's 1533-position model. The record is from RNAcentral.
GAUGAACGCUGGCGGCGUGCCUAAUACAUGCAAGUCGAGCGAACGGACGAGAAGCUUGCUUCUCUGAUGUUAGCGGCGGACGGGUGAGUAACACGUGGAUAACCUACCUAUAAGACUGGGAUAACUUCGGGAAACCGGAGCUAAUACCGGAUAAUAUUUUGAACCGCAUGGUUCAAAAGUGAAAGACGGUCUUGCUGUCACUUAUAGAUGGAUCCGCGCUGCAUUAGCUAGUUGGUAAGGUAACGGCUUACCAAGGCAACGAUGCAUAGCCGACCUGAGAGGGUGAUCGGCCACACUGGAAAUGAGCCACGGUCCAACCUCCUAGGGGAGGCAGCAGUAGGGAAUCUUCCGCAAUGGGCGAAAGCCUGACGGAGCAACGCCGCGUGAGGGAUGAAGGUCUUCGGAUCGUAAACCUCUGUUAUUAGGGAAGAACAUAUGUUUAAGUAACUGUCCACAUUUUGACGGUACCUAAUCAAAAAGCCACGGCUAACUACGU